This 550-nucleotide ribosomal RNA is filed under the name uncultured Acidobacteriota bacterium. RNAcentral describes it as "bacterial SSU rRNA". It matches the Rfam family "Bacterial small subunit ribosomal RNA", at positions 355 to 897 of the family's 1533-position model. Lineage: Bacteria; Pseudomonadati; Acidobacteriota. The record is from RNAcentral.
UGGGGAAUUGUUCGCAAUGGGCGCAAGCCUGACGACGCAACGCCGCGUGGAGGAUGAAGGUCUUCGGAUUGUAAACUCCUGUUGCCCGGGACGAAAAGCUUCAACCUAAUACGUUGAAGUCUGACGGUACCGGGUGAGGAAGCCCCGGCUAACUCUGUGCCAGCAGCCGCGGUAAUACAGAGGGGGCAAGCGUUGUUCGGAAUUACUGGGCGUAAAGGGCGCGUAGGUGGCCUGCUAAGUCGAACGUGAAAUCCCUGGGCUCAACCCAGGAACUGCGUCCGAGACUGGUUGGCUUGAAUCCGGGAGAGGGAUGUGGAAUUCCAGGUGUAGCGGUGAAAUGCGUAGAUAUCUGGAGGAACACCGGUGGCGAAGGCGACAUCCUGGACCGGUAUUGACGCUGAGGCGCGAAAGCCAGGGGAGCAAACGGGAUUAGAUACCCCGGUAGUCCUGGCCCUAAACGAUGAAUGCUUGGUGUGGCGGGUAUCGAUCCCUGCCGUGCCGAAGCUAACGCAUUAAGCAUUCCGCCUGGGGAGUACGGUCGCAAGGCUGA